AGCAGCAGCUAGGGGUCCGUUCCGGAAUCGUCCGGCAACCGGUGAGAUAGUCCCUUAAUACCUGACACGGAUAAUGCCGCCGUAGGGAAGCUGGGAACUAGUUAU
Molecule: non-coding RNA, 105 nt
Filed under: Nitrosospira briensis
Lineage: Bacteria; Pseudomonadati; Pseudomonadota; Betaproteobacteria; Nitrosomonadales; Nitrosomonadaceae
Description: TPP sequence
Rfam family: TPP riboswitch aptamer (THI element)
About the family: Vitamin B(1) in its active form thiamin pyrophosphate (TPP) is an essential coenzyme that is synthesised by coupling of pyrimidine and thiazole moieties in bacteria. The previously detected thiamin-regulatory element, thi box was extended, resulting in a new, highly conserved RNA secondary structure, the THI element, which is widely distributed in eubacteria and also occurs in some archaea.
Source: Rfam by way of RNAcentral